RNAcentral lists this ribosomal RNA (468 nucleotides) under uncultured bacterium. RNAcentral's name for it is "partial 16S ribosomal RNA". It matches the Rfam family "Bacterial small subunit ribosomal RNA", at positions 28 to 507 of the family's 1533-position model. The record is from RNAcentral.
GACGAACGCUGGCGGCGUGCUUAACACAUGCAAGUCGAACGGAAAGGCCCUGCUUUUGUGGGGUGCUCGAGUGGCGAACGGGUGAGUAACACGUGAGUAACCUGCCCUUGACUUUGGGAUAACUUCAGGAAACUGGGGCUAAUACCGGAUAGGAGCUCCUGCUGCAUGGUGGGGGUUGGAAAGUUUCGGCGGUUGGGGAUGGACUCGCGGCUUAUCAGCUUGUUGGUGGGGUAGUGGCUUACCAAGGCUUUGACGGGUAGCCGGCCUGAGAGGGUGACCGGCGACAUUGGGACUGAGAUACGGCCCAGACUGCUACGGGAGGCAGAAGUGGGGAAUAUUGCACAAUGGGCGGAAGCCUGAUGCAGCAACGCCGCGUGCGGGAUGACGGCCUUCGGGUUGUAAACCGCUUUCGCCUGUGACGAAGCGUGAGUGACGGUAAUGGGUAAAGAAGCACCGGCUAACUACGUG